This 1628-nucleotide long non-coding RNA is filed under the name Homo sapiens (human). RNAcentral describes it as "HSALNT0298701". The record is from RNAcentral. Lineage: Eukaryota; Metazoa; Chordata; Mammalia; Primates; Hominidae.
ACGCCCACCGGGUCCGCCCCCACGCGGCCGCCUGCACAGGGGGUUCCAGCCACCCGCGCUCUCCCAGGUUUGCCGACCUUACGGGCCCUUCUCCGCCAGCCCUGGCUGGGUCACCCCCACGACCCGGGACUCCCCCGCCGUUCCCUCCCGGGCUGCCUGCAGUGAGGUCCGCUCCUGAGGCCUCAGCCUCGCCGGGGGUAGGGCCCUCUCCCGCCGUCGCCGCAGCUCCUUUCCGUCCCGGGGCCUGGGGGGCACCGUCCCACGGGUGAGGGCCGCCUCCAGCGCCUGGCCCAGCCAUGCGAACGCCUGGAGCCCGCGAGCUGCAGCUGCGGCCCUGAAGGUGCCGCAUAUCCUGCCGAGUGGGUGAAGCGUGGCACUUUGGAAAACAAAUCGGGUGAUCCGCCCACCUCGGCCUCCCAAAGUGCUGGAAUUACAGGCAUGAACCACGGUGCCCGGCUGACACAAGGAACUUUCUAUGAGGUCCUAGGAAUGAAGGAAAACAGGCAAUAAGGCAAGAAUCGCUGUCGAAGGAGUCUGCGCCACCUGCUCGCACAGCUCACUUGUGCCUUCUGAGCCUGCUGGAGCCCAGUGUACAUAUGCCGUCUCCGCGUGAUUAGAGAUUGCUGCUGCACGUGCCCAAUCCCGUGGCGGGGCUGGAACACAAACGGGGUGGUGUUCCAGCUGCAACCAUGCAGAUGAAGACUAUACCCUAGGAGAUGGAGGAACAACAGACAAGAAAGAAACCUGGGUUCCUGAAUAACCACGUGGAGCCAAGCAGCUUACUUAUCUCAAGCCACUGUUGCCCACCUCCAGAUUGGUUCGUGAGAUAGAAAUAAGCUUCUAUCCUUUUUGCAUGACUGCAUUUUGGGGUCUGUGUUAUAGCAGCUUAAUCUCUAUCUGAAUUAUAUUGGAUUUAAGUGUCUGAAGCCCAAUGACUUAACCUUUCCUGAGGCAAAGGCACAGAAGAGCCUAUUUUCCAAAAAUGGGAAAACGAAGACAUAGGAAGGAAAAACCCAACAAAUGGUCAGGAAAUUAUACUGCUAUAGGCUCUUCUCGGAUGAGUGUCUAGUCCUAAUGAGGGGGCUGUGGGAAUUCAAAGACGGAGAAACUGCCUUCAGAUAGAGCUAGUAGGGAAGACCCCUGCAGACAGUGACAUUAAAUUGAAGGUAGAAUUUGGAUAGAUGGACAUGGGGAGGGCAAUUCAAACAAAGGGAACUUGAGCAACAGGGUGGAGGUAGAAAGGUGCCAGAUCUUUUGGGAGAUGCAGAAGUGAUAUCACACAGUUUAAAGCCAGAGUUAAAUAUAAACCGAUACUUAGAAGCUUAAAUUCAACAUGGCAAAUUCACAGGUUUAGUUUCCUAAAAGAUUUUUCAUGUUUUUAUUACAGAACUGUCUGCAAACAAAUCUUUACUUGAUGAGAAGUUUAAAUAUAAUUAAAUCUAGAAUAUUACAUGAAUAUUUUAUUGCUUUAUUAAGUCCUUCAAACAACACAUUUAUUUAUUUAUUUAUUUAUUUAUUUAUUUAUUAUUUUUUUUGAGACAGAGUCUCACUCUGUUGCCUAGGCUGGAGUACAGUGGCACGAUCUCAGCUCACUGCAUCCUCCACCUCCCAGGUUCAAGCGAUUCUCC